RNAcentral lists this ribosomal RNA (492 nucleotides) under uncultured bacterium. RNAcentral's name for it is "partial 16S ribosomal RNA". It matches the Rfam family "Bacterial small subunit ribosomal RNA", at positions 29 to 507 of the family's 1533-position model. The record is from RNAcentral.
AGUGAACGCUGGCGGUAGGCCUAACACAUGCAAGUCGAACGGCAGCACAGUAAGAGCUUGCUCUUACGGGUGGCGAGUGGCGGACGGGUGAGGAAUACAGCGGAAUCUACUUUUUCGUGGGGGAUAACGUAGGGAAACUUACGCUAAUACCGCAAACGACCUACGGGUGAAAGCAGGGGAUCUUCGGACCUUGCGCGAGUGAAUGAGCCGAUGUCGGAUUAGCUAGUUGGCGGGGUAAAGGCCCACCAAGGCGACGAUCCGUAGCUGGUCUGAGAGGAUGACCAGCCACACUGGAACUGAGACACGGUCCAGACUCCUACGGGAGGCAGCAGUGGGGAAUAUUGGACAAUGGGCGCAAGCCUGAUCCAGCCAUACCGCGUGGGUGAAGAAGGCCUUCGGGUUGUAAAGCCCUUUUGUUGGGAAAGAAAAGCAGAAGGUUAAUACCCCGCUGUUCUGACGGUACCCAAAGAAUAAGCACCGGCUAACUUCGUG